This 1776-nucleotide long non-coding RNA is filed under the name Homo sapiens (human). Its description in RNAcentral is "HSALNT0315941". Lineage: Eukaryota; Metazoa; Chordata; Mammalia; Primates; Hominidae. The record is from RNAcentral.
GGAGAGAAUGAGCUUGGAGCCGCAGGGCUUAAUCCCGCGCGGCUCAGAGAUGGGUUUCUGGACUCGCGAAGCAGCUGCAACAAGGCAUCACUCACUGUAUAAGUAUUUCCAUUUCUGAGAGCAAAAGGAAGAACUUAAGCGGGCGGCACUUGGAGUGUAAAUUGCUUUGUAGUAUUUAAAGGCAGAAUGGAUCCUGGGCAGCCGAGCUGCAACAAACCGGCAGGACUUCCUGUGAAAUCAUGACCACCAUGUGCUCUUUCAGCCUCUAUCAGUUCCUACCUCUAAGCACCUGAGAGCCAAAGCAAACCACAGGAAACCACAGGUACUAACUCUUUUAGACCUGAUGAAGUGUCUCCCAAAUACAGUCUGGCAUGACUCAAACUAAACGUCAGCUUUUCCCGGCUCUCAAGCCUGCUGGUCCCUGAACUAAAACUCACAUUAUCAACUCUACUGGUUCUUAGGCCUUUGGAGUCAGACUGGAACUACAGCAUUGACUCUUCCGGAACUCCAGCUUACUGACUACAGAUCUUGGAACUUUUCAGCUUCCACAACCAUAAUGAAAGCCAAGCAUAUUCCAUCAUUUCCUAAAACCAAGAUAGAGCACAUAUGGGAACUUGUGAAAUAAGGAUGCCCUGCGGUUGUUUUCAGGACUGAAGACAACAGCUCCACGAUGUAUCUUUGCAUAAGAAUACACUUGUAUAAUAAGUUUUUUUUUUUAGAGAAAUUGCAUGUAUCUGCCUUAUAAACUUUUUCAUUCAUUCAUUUUCUUUCUUCCUAAUCUGUUCCAUAAAGCAAAUUUCUAACUUAUUGUUAAUCAAAAUAAUUAUUGAAAUAAUUAGUACUUUCAUAUGAUAAAGAUUAUUUUAAUCUGCAGCUACAAAAUAUGUAACUCAUUAAUAUUUAAACAAUCACAAUUUUCUAUUAACAUUAUAGCAUUUUAUCUACUACUAGAUCAGGAAUUAGCUAUUUUUUGUAAAAUUUCUUUGUAAGGCAAAGCAAUAGUAUUGUAUAUACUUUCCUAAAGAUUGUCAAGUUCAGUUUUGCUUAAAUUUAACAGUACAUGUGACACUUUCUGUUUGAAGAAUAAGUUGGUUUUAAGUUUAUACCAAACAAAAGCAUCUCUUUUGUUUUGCAAAAUCUGAAACUUUGAUCUUUCUAGUUGUGACUUCUUGUAAAUAUGUUUUAUAUAAAUAUUCUAUGAAUUGGUUAUUAACAAGGUAAAGAAAGAUUGAUAUGUAAGCUGAUUCUUAAACAUUAAUUUUCUGGAGAUAAACUUUUUUAAAAUUAUGCUUUAAAAAUAUUUUAACACAUGUUAUCAAAAAGGAACUGAAAUAUCUUAGGCAUAAAAGACAUCUCUAGAGGUCAUUAUUCAGUUUCCAGAAAGUACUGAAACUAUCUCUGACAGAUUGAUACGUUUUCUGCAUUUAUAGCUCUCUGGAGAGAGGUUCUGUAUAUUUAACAAUUCUCACUGUGAGGGAUAUUUUAAGUAUUUCAAAUUUAAAGUGCUCAUGUUUCAGAUUCAGAUUAUUAUUAUCAUCAUCAUUAUUUUGGUUCUGGCUUCAGUAAAAAUGUGAAAAACACUUUUCCAUCUUCUGAUAAUAUUUCAUAUUUAUAAAAUUAUUAUUAAGUUAUAACUCAGCUUUUUCAUUUAUGCUUUAAAUCCUUUUAUUAUCUCAUCACAACCAUCUUUGACUGUUUAUCAGAAAUGGUUCUCUUUUGUACAUUGACCAUUAUUUUAUAGAUCACAUUUAAGUUAAUAUAAAUCAUGCCUAUAAA